Molecule: long non-coding RNA, 4060 nt
Organism: Egretta garzetta (little egret)
Lineage: Eukaryota; Metazoa; Chordata; Aves; Pelecaniformes; Ardeidae
Exons: 5
Source: RefSeq, a predicted model, not a curated record
GCCGCAGCCUCUGCAUUGCCUGCAGAGGAAUCCUGCAACCCACGCCCACCCUGCACCUUGGCGCUUACCAGGGCACCGGCUCUUCGGAAUCGCUCGCAACCUUUUGUUGUUUCCUAUCUUUUUCAUCUGAACCUCUCCAGUUGCCCCAUAAACAUUAAUGAAGUGUUUCAGUAUGCAUCUGUAGGCUAGGGAAAAUGUCAGUAUUCCUCUUUUAUAGAUGAUGAAAGUACAGAAUAGAGAGGAAAAGCAAAUAGUGGCAGGUUUCCUGAACGAUCUUAAUCUUCUGCUUGAAGCGUUGCAUCGCGCUUCCUGUUGAUGCAGAGCGUUUCCCCCGAUAGCCUUCGUUAUGUUGUUGAUUCACAUGAUUGAGGUGAAUGAAAUUAUUGGAGUUACUUAGCUAGGUGGUCAGGCAGCCUAGGUUUUUCCAUACUCUUGGUUUUGCUUUGUUGUUUUAAUUUAAUUGCUAGAAUGAAUCAAGGCUUAAUUAAGGUGAUAAUUAGAUUUUCGAGUGUUCCUGAGAUGAAACGGUAUUCCUACAGAGAUCCACAGACAGUUGAAAAUAAAUGCUCAGGCAGGGAAAAAUGGGAGCUGGAAGCUUUUGGGCGUACAGACAUAGACAUGCACCCCCAGAUAGGCACCGCUGACAGCUCGUCAAGCAGCCUCACAUAAUGAGCUGUUGCCCAUCGUCUCCCGUAGCCUGCAUAAGUGGCAAGUACUUGGGCAACUUCUGGGAUCUGCUGGAAAUUUCUAACAGGAGCUGAUGCUGAGCGCAUCGGAGGAGGCAUGGGAAACGCUUGGGUAGGGGUUUCAUCCGCGUUGGCACAUGCAGGGAUUGUAAGCUUUGAAAAAUAGAAACAAACCUGCCAGGGAAGCAGGAAAGCUUAUGUAUGUGUGUUGGAGCAGGCCCAUAUGGGAAAGUGUCACACAGAAUCGAUCACCGAAUGGCAAGGGUUGGAAGGGACCUCGGGAGAUCAUCUAGUCCACCCCCCUGCUAAAGCAGGCUCACCCAGAGCAAGUUGCACAGGACAUCAUCCAGGGGAUACUACAGGUAAAGGAGCAAACGCCACGAGGCUGGUGGAGACUUCCAGCAACGUGCCUGGUUUCCAACUCGCCUGCUGACGUUUGUAAUCCUGGCGGGUAGCGCUGAAGGCAUGUUCCUGUGGUUAACUCCCUCGGUGCGCGCCAUUUCCCAUUUCUGAUUAAUUGGUCUCAUGUAAUUGCUUUUGAAUUGCCUCUUGCUUUCUUCUGCGCCUUCUGAACUGCAGGGCUGAGGUCUCCCGGCUCGCGGGGUGCUCUGUCUGCCAGAGCCACAAGCAAUGGCUUUAGCUCAUCCUCAUCAACAUCUGUGUCCUCGCUGGCUAUCUGGACUCUUAGAAAACGUGACCGUAGGAAUUGCUAUCGAGACAUUCUGCAAUGAACAUUUUAAGUUAAUUAGAGAGUGAAAAUGCUGGAAACAAAGGAGAGGAGCUACUUUGCACAAUUUCCAGUGAUUUUACAGACUGAAUUUCAAACUUUAGAAACCUGCCAUGGGAAGGGGCCACGGGUGAAGCUGGGGGCUGAUCUGCUCAGCUGGUGUCACAGGGAGCGGCCAAAGCUGGAACCAGUUCCUGAAGCUUUCAUGGUUUUGGUGGCUCACCAGGACUUUGGUUCAAGACAUCAGACUCUAAUCAAUGAGUUUUGGGAGAUGCACACGCAGCCACACGGACCUUCUCAAAUAGUGUCUGUCUGCCAAUAAGGAGCUGGUCUGUCUGCCCCAUCGCGUCAGUGAUCCCAUGUGCUGGAGAGGAUGCAGGUCUGCAUUCCUGGGCACGGUGGGUUUCCCCAGUGGAGCUUUAUCAUCUCCUGGCUGCGCGGUUCGUUUCUGGCUUGGGGAUGAAGGGCAAAGAGCAGAAACUCGCAGUGCGCAGCCCGAGCAUUGGGAGACGCUGCGUCUGCUCCGCUCCUGCCCCAGCCCGACACCCCAUGCGGCUUUCAAGCAAGUCACUCCAUCCCUUUGCAUUGCCGUACCUCGCCAUCCUCGUCCAGGGUAAUUACAGCCUCCUUGCUCGCAGGGCGCUGGUAGGGGAACUUCAAGCUUCGGUGGUGGAUCCGCACAUCGAAGCGGAGCCCUGCAUGCCGUGCUGUGCUCCGUGAGGGGAAGCAGCUUGUGGGAAAGGUAUGAGCCGGAGAAACAAGAGGUGACUUGAAAAAGCUGCUGCAGGCUCCAAGGAGGCUGAGGAAGGGAGGUCCUGAGGUGGAACUGCACGAAACCGUGGGAGCUGUUGUGCAGAUGGAGGCCAGGGUGCGUUGCUGCUGGGCGAUGCAGCUCCUGGGAUGGGACUCAGGGUUUGGGAGGCACCGUCUCUGUGCCUUUAUCUCUGACACCCUGGCCCUCACUUCUAUUUCAAAGCAUGCCUGGGUGCUGCACCCUGUUAAGUAGUGUAUCUGGGAAAUAAUCAGCCAGAGGCUGGAGCUUAUCCCCGUGCCAGAGCUGUCUCUUGGAUCUUCAGCGGCACGGAACUCCCCGGCUUGCAAGCCCUGCAUUAGUCACUUUGUGGUGCUCCAAGCCUUUACACGGGACGAGGCGCUGGGAAGCCUGCGAGUCCCAGCGUGGUCGGACACCGCCAGCUGGUUCUUGUUACAAGCUGGAUGGCGUGUGAGCGCUUGAUACGUGGUUUAUACCCAGAAGAGGCAUGGGGUGAAGCCAAAGCUGGGAAACGUUCCCCAUGGACGUGGGGCUGCGGAGGAGGUUCCUAGUGGAGCAGCGGUUGAUGGAUGGUCUGCACACCCAGCAGCUCCAGUGCUCCCAACUGGCAGCUGGGUGACGACCACAGGAAAGCUCUGGCCAUCCGGCGGCUGUUGGGUGUCUAACGUGGCAAGGGGACACCGCUGGGAAAGGUGGAAGAAAGACACUCAAGUUAGUCCUGAGUCUGAAUUCAGGUUCACAGCCACAUGCUUUGCAGUCAGUAAAGAUUAAGAUCUUAAUUUUGGCAUUUCUUGUGCAUUCUGCAGCCAGAACAUGGCCCAGGUCUGCUCUCUGUAAGAGCCUUGGGAACACUGGUGUGCCAGGGGUGUAUUUUUAGGUCACUUCCAGAGAAGUGGGCUCAUUUCCAUGGAACCAGCCAACCACCUCGGCAGUCAGCUGUGUUGUAAUGGGGAUGGAGAACAGUUUCCACCGUGCAUCGUCUCGCUGUCGAAGGUUUUGACCUUGCUCACACGUCUGUUACUUGAUUUAUCUUCACUGAUGUUCAGACUCCGACCCUACCAAGAUCAUUAUCAGACCAUCUCCGGAUUUCAGUGGCCAAGCACUCAAAAGCAGGGGCCCCCAGCAAGGGCUUCCUCUGUCUAACACAAAAUAAAGGCUGAACUAAUUCAUCUCAUUUCAACCCCUCUCUUCAGGAGGGCUCUUUGCCCUCCUGGAACCACCUGGUUCAUUAGAAAUUGGGCUUUUGAAUGUAUUAGAAAUGUAGACUUUAUAUUCCCACAGGCACGUGGGUGUGUGGCAGAACGAAUGUGCAUCUUGUACCUUAAUAAUCUCAUAUUCUGGGGUCGUCAGACUUCUUGAAGGAGGCUUGAAACAGGGACCGGCUUUAUCUCACACCAGGCAUUGGGUCCUCGCUUAACUAACUGUGCAACUCCACAUAGAUUUCUCAGUGUAAAAUAUAGUCCUGUACAAUAAUCAGAUAUUAUUCAGAAAAUAUUUGGUAAGUAACAUCUGCUGCACUGAAAAUUAAAUUAAGGGUAUUAAAUGGGAGUUUAAAGAAAACAGGUUUUGGGGUGAAAAAAUCUUCAAAGGUACCUAUUUUAGUUCAGAUUUCAAAUUCAAAUUUCCUUAAAGAUGUUGGCAGGAUUCGUUUCUCCUUUGUAACAUACUUGUUCAUAUAUGCCAUUAUACUGCUCCCUUCAAGCUGGAUAUUAUACUGGAAUACAGCAAAAGACAAAUUUAAGAUAUGAAACUGGGGAAGACCAUAUUUCAUACUGCAUAAAAUGCACCUCUGGAAUUUUCAGUUCUUCUUUUCUGCAGUAUUACAAAUGCCUUUAUAAAGUUAUCAUGGCUGAUGAACUAAAAAAAAAAAAAAUA